RNAcentral lists this unclassified non-coding RNA (357 nucleotides) under Hevea brasiliensis (rubber tree). The record is from RNAcentral. Lineage: Eukaryota; Viridiplantae; Streptophyta; Magnoliopsida; Malpighiales; Euphorbiaceae.
GACCUCCGCCGUUCUCCUCCGCCACCCUCCGCCCCUUUCCCUACCUAUGCCAACCAAACCCGACGUCGACAGAUGCAUCACGACCGCAAGAUCGAGAUCGACUCGCCACUGCCCUCCGAUGUCGAGAUGCCGACCUCCACCUCCUUGGAUCGAUCAAUUCCCCUCACCCGUCCGAUCCCCAACCUCAGCUCCAAUCGUCCGAUCGUGUUCGAGAGUCUUCCCGAGGGUCCAGGAAGUCUCAUUUCCCUCCAACUCUUCUAAUUAAGGUAUGAAGUUUGAUGAAACCCUAAUUUCUCUGGUUUCCUUUGCAGGAUAUCCCUCGUGCGAGUACCCGUGUGAAGGAGCUUCUUCCAGCUA